This 3999-nucleotide long non-coding RNA is filed under the name Homo sapiens (human). RNAcentral describes it as "HSALNT0406326". Lineage: Eukaryota; Metazoa; Chordata; Mammalia; Primates; Hominidae. The record is from RNAcentral.
CCUGGGUGACAGAGUGGGACUCUGUCUCAAAAAAUAAUUUUAAUGAAACCUGCCUCCCAAACAUUAUAUUGCAGCAAUCUUAGAAGAAUGCACCACCUCUGGAAUAGAGAAGCAGUUGGGAAAGAAGUGUUUCAUGUUUCCUACACCUGGGCAACAGGCAGGCCCCUGACAACCACAAGUAAUUCUUUCCUGAGAGCCGGGAUCUUGCAACAGCUUGUCAUUAGUGCUGUUUAGCAUUUAAUUUGCCUUUAGUUAGGUAACAAGCAUUUAUGGAUUACCUGUUAGGAACGAAUGCACAGUAUGGGAACAGAGGGAUGAAUGAGGCACAGACUCUGCUCACAGCCUACUUGGACUAGAAAUAUCUACUCAGGAAAGAAAACUUGAAAGCAGUUAGCAAAUGCAAACCGAUAUACCACUACAGGGAAUCAUCACUCUUUCCGAAUUCAAGGCUCUAACUGCUGGCACACUUCUAAGGAAAAAAGAUAUGCGUUUCUGCAUCCCGUCUCAUGAUGGGAGUGAAGAUAUGCCAGUCACGCCUUCUGUGGGCUAAGGAACGGUCCGGCCUUCUCUUCCUCUGCAGAGUCCGGGCGUGAUGGAGACGCAGGAUGGAGGCAGCCAUCACCCAUUGAAAAACAGCCUGUCUGCCAGAUCUGGUGACCCCCCCCUAAGGUCCUUGGUAAAAACUGAGGCCUAGUUGUGUCCAGGAUGGCAGUGAGCUGGGAUUCAUUCAUGGCAGCCCCCAGGAGAUUGCGUUUUUAAACCAGCCCAAGGCAUGUGGUGGACAUGGAUUGGCAGCACCUACAGAUAACGGGGAAGGCUUUCCAAGGGGCCAAACGGUCCAUAGCAGUUAGGGAAGCGAACGUUAGAAGUGCAGGUCAAGGUCUCAGAGUGAGCAGUGUGGCUGGGCCAGAGAGGGCCUUCCAAGUGCAUAGCCAGUGGAGGCAGCUGGACACAGCUGACAUGACAAGGCAAGGCUGGAUCCGUCAGACUCUGGGAAUGCUCCCAGCCAUCAGGCUUCACGGAGCACUGCUUCUGUGCUAAGUUCCUGAUGCCAAGGAAAGUGAGAGAGACAUGGCCCUGGCCUCAAGAAGCUUUCCCGGCAGAUGGCCGUGUAUCCGGGAUAUGUUAAGGGAGGUGUAAUAUUAACCAAAAGUGGAGCUCUGAGCUCCUACCCUUGGCAGAGGGCUUCUUGGAGUAGAUCAUGCCUGGACUGUGCCCAAGGGCGUCUUGGAGUAGAUCGUGCCUGGAUCGCACUGAAUCAGUGUAAGCUGGGUCAAGUCGGGGAAUGGCAACCCAGGCGGAGGGAAGUGCAUACUUGGGACACGGAGGGCACAGACAAGCCGUGGUUCUCUGGCAGUGAGAUGGGUGCCAGGCCACAAACUGGAUCUGAGAGAUUAUUUCCCCAUCUGGGAACUGCAUGUACUAUGGAUUGUAAAGGGUCAACCUGAGAGACAGAAACAGGGAAAAGGCCCUCAACCAUUCACUUCAGUGUCUGGGGAUGCGUGGACUGGGGAAGAGUCUCUGGCUGGCUCCAAUGCGGUCUCUGCUUCUGCAGAGGGGGCCUUGCUCACACAGUCUUCAGACUUGCAUUCCCAGCUGGUGCCCAGCACCACGAAUAUAUGGGAAGAUAACAACUCUAAAGAGGGAUAAAAUGUAUUUUUUGGUCGGUUUUUAUUUUUCAAACACAUUUAGCAUUCUCUGGUUUUUAAAAAAUGCUUUUAAUAGAGCACAGACUCCUUUCCUCAGUGGUGAGGAGACAGAUUUAAGGGCUGUAGCUCAGACAGUCAGUGCCAGCUAGCAUUCAGGGAUCCAAGUGUGAGAAUCAAAUUGUCGUUUGAUGUGUGGAUUUGGCAAAGGCUCAGCACGCCUUGGAGACGGUGCCCGUGGCCCACACUGGGUGGCAGGUGCUUCUGCCUUGGGCUCUCUGCUCCUGCCGGCCGGGCCUGUCAUCGGCUGAAAAGCCGGCAUCUCCCACACCCAUCAGCUCCUCUCUGGAGCUGAGUCGCUGGACACUGUGACCACACUUAAGAGGCACAGCAUGCUCCUGCUGGGUGGAAUUUUAGGACACCUGGUCUGUGACCUCUUCAUUAUGACAUAAAAGGGACCUUCCCUGCAGUCCCACAAAUAGGAACAGAGCAGCACUGGAGCUGGCGCCCGACUCCCGGCAGGGAAGGGUUCUGUCCUCAUUUGGGCGUAUUCUGUUUCUGCCCACCUGGUGUGUGCCCUCCCUGACUCCUGCCCCAUUUCCAGACCCGGCUCACGCGUACUUCUCACACUAAGCAGUCUCACUGAAGCCACCGCUUGGAAUCUGCGGUGUUUACUGUCUGCCCCGCCCCUUUUGUUUGCCCGUUUGUUAUGGAGGUGUGUGUUUAAACGGGCAAAGCAGCGUGCUGCCAGGGACACCAGGAAAGCCCACUUAGCCAUCAACUGGAGACUCUGACAACUAGAAGAAACCUGGAAGGCCACGUGACAGAUAUGGAGACAGGCUGAGAGAAGAGUGGAAGAGGAUGUCAAUGGGCAGGAAUGGAGCCAAACUCUACGGGAGAACGGAGCUGGCCAGGCAGAGCUGCUGGACACCUGAGGCUCCCUCCUUCCACCACAAACACCACUGCCCCAUGGCCUAGAGAGGAGCGUCACUGUUCUUAGAACCAUCCUCUGACGUGAGCAGGACAAUGACGAUCACCACUGUGUAAAUCCUGACACUGGACCAGAGGAAUUGACUUACCUGCUUCAGCUCCAGGUGAGCACAGCCAGAACCAUGCUCAGAAGCCAGCACACGAAGGCCUGCAACUGCAGACCCCUAAGAAACCUUGGAGAUGCUCUCAGACAGUGCCCACCUCACUUUGCAGAUGGAGUGACUCACAGCUGGGACAAAGGUCCACUCGCUCUUGCCCCUGCAGUCUACCCACAAAGCAGCCAGGAGAGCUUCUAAAAAUGCAAAGCAGGUGGCGUUCUUCUGAAUAAGCCCUCCCAUGGCUCCCUAUCUUAGUACAAAAGCUGAAAUCUCAUGACCUGUGAGGCCCUCCAGCUGGCUCGCAGCCACCCCUCCAAAACCGAGUGCCUGCCAGCGCAUUGCCCACCCAGCUGCAGCCAGGCCCCCCACUGCUCAGCACCAUCUCCUCAGAGGCCCCCCCAUUCUUCCACGGGCAUGUUCCCUAUCCCCUUAGAGCACGCUUGGGCCUGAACUGAUCUUGGGUUCUGUCGCCUGUCUACCCCACUGGAAUGCAAACUCCACAGAGGCAGGGCUUUCUCUGUCCCCUGCCGCAUCCACAGUGCCGGGAACAGUGCCUGGCAUGGAGCAGGUGCAGUCGAAUGACCGACUCCAUGAAGUGAGGUGAGUCACCCACCACGCAGGGAAGAGUGGACAUGGGUAAACAGGCGCUGCCUGGGCUCCAGGCACACUGACUGCAUCCUGGCUGCUUGACUGAUGUGGUUAAUAAAUUACUAGAAGGCAAGCCCUCUAGGGCACAGCAGACUGGAUACUUGAUUAACCCAGGGUCUGUGUUAAUUCCAGGUGCCAAAAUAAUUUCUAGAAUUUCACCUGAGACCUAGAGGUAGUUCAUUUGAAAAUAAACAUGAUUUUCCAGAAGGCUCGAGCUUUCUCAAGGAAAGCAAUGCCCUGGACUCUCCUUCCACAGGAAAUCAGGAAGACAGGCUUUGGAAUUCCCAGUGGGGAAGCACAGUUGGAGGGGCCGGCCUCGGGCACCACAGUGCGCAACGCUGAACACAGGGCUCCCAGGCAGAGACUGGGAGGUCCCGACACCUGGACCCACAGGUGCACCCGCAUCUCCCAUGCUUUUACCCUUUCUCCUCCACCCCAUUUAUAGAAGUGAUCAGAGGUGAAUGAGGAAAUAGUGGGGGAACUGACCCCCUGGAAAGUCUGAAUUUGAGUGAAAUAAUGGGGAGAAGUGAACCCCUGGAAAGUCUGAAUUCUGCUUCAUCAAAGCCCAACACGGGCCUGUUUCCCUCUGCUGUCAACCCCAGGGAAUGGGGUGUCAA